CAGUCGCCGCGGGAAAACGGAGGGAGCGAGCGUUGUUCGGAAUUACUGGGCGUAAAGGGUGCGCAGGCGGCUUUGUAAGUUGGGAGUGAAAUCCCUGGGCUUAACCCAGGAAUUGCUUUCAAAACUACAAGGCUAGAGUCUCGGAGAGGUUAGCGGAAUUCCCAGUGUAGAGGUGAAAUUCGUAGAGAUGUGGAGGAACACCAGUGGCGGAGGCGACUCUCUGGUCUGUAACUGACGCUGAGGAGCGAAAGCGUGGAGAGCGAACAGGAUUAGAUACCCGUGUAGUCCCUGUCUCUUAUAC
This 301-nucleotide ribosomal RNA is filed under the name uncultured bacterium. Its description in RNAcentral is "partial 16S ribosomal RNA". It matches the Rfam family "Bacterial small subunit ribosomal RNA", at positions 509 to 807 of the family's 1533-position model. The record is from RNAcentral.